GGAGGAAGGUGUUUUUCCUGAGACCAGAACUAGGAAAGUGAGAAAGUUUCCUGGUAACAGGGAACCUGAACGAAGGACUACCUUUAAAAUUUUGGGGAAGGGCGAGGGUUUGUUCUUAAAACCCAUUUUUCGAAUAGGUUAAACCUAUAUACAAAUAGCAGCAUUCUUGGUGGCAGUAAUUAGAGAAGAUUCAUCACAGUGGUUGGGAACAUAAAGGAAACGAGAGUGGGGAUGGGCAAGCCUGGGAUUAGAAAAAAAUAUGACCUCUUCCUUUCUCCUGAAUUAGUGCCUCGUCACUGUAAGCAGUCCUGGAAUUCAGGAACAAUGUUACAGAGAGACUGAAAAACUUGGCUCCUUGGUUUAGAAGCAGUACUGGCUGAAACUUAGUUCUUUGGAAAUACACAAGGUACCCAGGCUCUGAAAUGGCAACUCGUAAUACACUACCUCCAUUUAAAAGUUCCAUCCCUGAUGUCUUUAGCUAUUGAUCACUCAAAUGCAUUGUCUAAAGUAGCUUUAGUUCUCUCUCUUACCUUACUUCUUAGAGCAGAAGAGAGAGGUUCUACUAUAAAAGAAAUACAUCUUCAUUUUAGUAAAACCAGAAAAUUCAGAUCAGCAAAUAAAGAAAUAUUAGAAUCACCUCUAAUCCCAGUCAUCCGGAGUUAACUUGCUGGUGUCAUUUUCCUGGAUAUUCUCAUACUGUUUACCCAUGUCCCAUUCCAGGAGGCUUUUCAUAUAGAAGAUGAGUGGACACCAACUAGAGACACUGGAGCAAGGGCCCCACAGUGUGACAUUUGGUUGUCUCUUGAUGGGGGAGGGAAAGUGUGCUUUUGUGUACAAGUAUGAGAUAGGUGGAUUCUAUCAUGUGGAGGAUAUUGCUUCUCAGCCUUUUGGCUAAGAUCAAGUGUAGUAUCAUGAGGAGUUUUCUUCGAAAUUGUGGAUUUCCACUUAUGUAACUAGUGGUGCUAUUAUGUGCCCAGCACGAAGGUAUGUAAAUGUUGCAUUAAAACCUUCUUGAGG
This is a long non-coding RNA of Homo sapiens (human), 1017 nucleotides long. The record is from Ensembl. Lineage: Eukaryota; Metazoa; Chordata; Mammalia; Primates; Hominidae.